Non-coding RNA from Malus domestica (apple), 574 nucleotides. The record is from RefSeq and is a predicted model, not a curated record. Lineage: Eukaryota; Viridiplantae; Streptophyta; Magnoliopsida; Rosales; Rosaceae.
AGGGGCCGUUUGUUUGACAGGACUAGGGAGGACUGGACUGGACUAUAGUCCCUUGUUUGGUUUGUAGCAGGAUUAGUUUUAAUGACCUUAGGUCGGACUCGCUCAGAUUAUUCACCUCCUUACGCGUUCUUAACGAGGAACCCCAGUUUCGGGAGGACUCGUAAGCCCUGAGAGAAAGCCGCGAGAGAGUCACUCAUCCAAGAACCUACGUCGCUCGUCCUCAUCGCUGCGUCUUCCCUCAUCGUCGUCCUUGCCCUGCUCCCUCAUCGUCAUCUUCCUCAUUCUGAUCUCUGCGCCUUCCCUCAUCUGCAUCUGCUCGCCCUCAUCUGCUCCGACUUGUCUGCAAUUUCGUGUCUGGGUUUCACAAGAGGAAGAAGAAGAGGAGAAGGGAAGCUGAGCAGAAGCAAGGAGAGGCAUUGCGGCGGAAACGUCUCAAGCUGUGCAAAAAGGGGAAUUCUAUAUCGACUACAAAGUACAACUUCAUUACAUUUUUUGCCGAAAGGACUCUUUGAACAGAGAAGAGGAGCAUAAACGGAAGGCUAAGGCUAAGGCUACUGCAUUACAGGUGUCCUUU